GUUUCUAUAGUUGAAUAACAA
This 21-nucleotide transfer RNA is filed under the name Microtus obscurus (Altai voie). RNAcentral's name for it is "partial tRNA-Glu". Lineage: Eukaryota; Metazoa; Chordata; Mammalia; Rodentia; Cricetidae. The record is from RNAcentral.